This 1080-nucleotide ribosomal RNA is filed under the name uncultured bacterium. Its description in RNAcentral is "bacterial SSU rRNA". It matches the Rfam family "Bacterial small subunit ribosomal RNA", at positions 8 to 1104 of the family's 1533-position model. The record is from RNAcentral.
AGAGUUUGAUCCUGGCUCAGGAUGAACGCUGGCGGCGUGCUUAACACAUGCAAGUCGAACGUUAGGAGAUAGCAAUAUCUCCAAAAGUGGCGAACGGGUGAGUAACACGUGGGUAAUCUGCCGCGCAGAGGGGGAUAACGACUGGAAACGGUCGCUAACACCGCAUGGUACUAUUUUGACGGGAGUUGAGAUGGUUAAAACCUUGGUGCUGCGCGAGGAGCCUGCGUCCGAUUAGCUAGUUGGUGAGGUAAAGGCUCACCAAGGCGAUGAUCGGUAGCUGGUCUGAGAGGAUGAUCAGUCACACGGGAACUGAGACACGGUCCCGACUCCUACGGGGGGCAGCAGUGAGGAAUAUUGCACAAUGGACGCAAGUCUGAUGCAGCAACGCCGCGUGGAGGAUGAAGGUUUUCGGAUCGUAAACUCCUUUUCUCAGGGAAGAGAACGGACGGUACCUGAGGAAUAAGUCACGGCUAACUACGUGCCAGCAGCCGCGGUAAUACGUAGGUGGCGAGCGUUAUCCGGAAUUACUGGGUGUAAAGCGCACGCAGGCGGUUUUUUAAGUUUGACGUGAAAACUUCUGGCUUAACUGGAAGAGGUCGUUGAAGACUGGGAAACUUGAGGCGAUGAGAGGGAUGUAGAAUUCACGGUGUAGUGGUGGAAUGCGUAGAUACCGUGAGGAAUACCAGUGGCGAAAGCGACAUCCUGGCAUUAGCCUGACGCUCAUGUGCGAAAGCGUGGGGAGCGAACGGGAUUAGAUACCCCGGUAGUCCACGCCGUAAACGAUGAACACUAGGUGUAGGUGGUGUGAAAACCGUCUGUGCCGAAGCCAACGCGUUAAGUGUUCCGCCUGGGGAGUACGGCCGCAAGGCUAAAACUCAAAGGAAUUGACGGGGGCCCGCACAAGCAGCGGAGCGUGUGGUUUAAUUCGAUGCGACGCGAAGAACCUUACCCAGGUUUGACAUGUACGUAGUAGUGAAGCGAAAGCGGAACGACCCUUCGGGGAGCGUACACAGGUGCUGCAUGGCUGUCGUCAGCUCGUGUCGUGAGAUGUUGGGUUAAGUCCCGCAACGAGCGCAACCC